UACGGGGGGUGCGAGCGUUGUCCGGAAUCACUGGGCGUAAAGGGCGCGUAGGUGGUCUGAUAAGGGUGUGGUGAAAGCCCGGGGCUCAACCCCGGGUCGGCCGUGCCGACUGUUAGACUAGAGUGCUGUAGGGGCAGGCGGAAUUCCGGGUGUAGCGGUGGAAUGCGUAGAGAUCGGGAAGAACACCGGUGGCGAAGGCGGGUCUCUGGGCCGAAAUUGACGCUGAGGAGCGAAAGCGUGGGGAGCAAACAGG
RNAcentral lists this ribosomal RNA (253 nucleotides) under uncultured bacterium. Its description in RNAcentral is "partial 16S ribosomal RNA". It matches the Rfam family "Bacterial small subunit ribosomal RNA", at positions 524 to 776 of the family's 1533-position model. The record is from RNAcentral.